GUGGGGAAUUUUCCGCAAUGGGCGAAAGCUGACGGAGCAAUACCGCGUGAGGGAAGACUGCCUAUGGGUUGUAAACCUCUUUUUUCAGGGAGGAAUAAAAUGACGUGUACCUGAAGAAUAAGCAUCGGCUAACUCCGUGCCAGCAGCCGCGGUAAGACGGAGGAUGCAAGUGUUAUCCGGAAUCACUGGGCGUAAAGCGUCUGUAGGUGGUUUAAUAAGUCAACUGUUAAAUCUUGAGGCUCAACCUCAAAAUCGCAGUCGAAACUAUUMGACUAGAGUAUAGUAGGGGUAAAGGGAAUUUCCAGUGGAGCGGUGAAAUGCGUAGAGAUUGGAAAGAACACCGAUGGCGAAGGCACUUUACUGGGCUAUUACUAACACUCAGAGACGAAAGCUAGGGUAGCAAAUGGGAUUAGAUACCCCAGUAGUCCUAGCUGUAAACAAUGGAUACUAGAUGUUGAACAGAUCGACCUGUGCAGUAUCAAAGCUAACGCGUUAAGUAUCCCGCCUGGGAAGUAUGCUCGCAAGAGUG
Molecule: ribosomal RNA, 529 nt
Filed under: uncultured alga
Lineage: Eukaryota
Description: bacterial SSU rRNA
Rfam family: Bacterial small subunit ribosomal RNA
Source: RNAcentral